Molecule: ribosomal RNA, 483 nt
Filed under: uncultured bacterium
Lineage: Bacteria
Description: partial 16S ribosomal RNA
Rfam family: Bacterial small subunit ribosomal RNA
Source: RNAcentral
GACGAACGCUGGCGGCGUGCUUAACACAUGCAAGUCGAACGCUGAAGCUCAGCUUUUGUUGGGUGGAUGAGUGGCGAACGGGUGAGUAACACGUGAGUAACCUGCCCCCUUCUUUGGGAUAACGCCCGGAAACGGGUGCUAAUACUGGAUAUUCACUGGUCUUCGCAUGGGGGUUGGUGGAAAGGGUUUUUCUGGUGGGGGAUGGGCUCGCGGGCUAUCAGCUUGUUGGUGGGGUGAUGGCCUACCAAGGCUUUGACGGGUAGCCGGCCUGAGAGGGUGACCGGUCACAUUGGGACUGAGAUACGGCCCAGACUCCUACGGGAGGCAGCAGUGGGGAAUAAUGCACAAUGGGCGCAAGCCUGAUGCAGCGACGCCGCGUGAGGGAUGGAGGCCUUCGGGUUGUGAACCUCUUUCGCUCAUGGUCAAGCCGCAACAAUGGUUGUGGUGAGGGUAGUGGGUAAAGAAGCGCCGGCUAACUACGUG